ACCGCUGAAAGCAUCUAAGCGGGAAACUAACUUCAAGAUAAGUAUUCUUUAAGAUACCUUCGAGCCUAGGAGGUUGAUAGGUUGGGGGUGUAAGUACAGCAAUGUAUUUAGCUGACCAAUACUAAUUAUCGAAGUUUUAAUCUAAGCUCUACUAUAUAGUUUC
RNAcentral lists this ribosomal RNA (163 nucleotides) under Fusobacterium canifelinum. RNAcentral describes it as "partial 23S ribosomal RNA". The stretch from base 1 to 144 matches the Rfam family "Bacterial large subunit ribosomal RNA", at positions 2767 to 2925 of the family's 2925-position model. The record is from RNAcentral. Lineage: Bacteria; Fusobacteriati; Fusobacteriota; Fusobacteriia; Fusobacteriales; Fusobacteriaceae.